Molecule: ribosomal RNA, 484 nt
Filed under: uncultured bacterium
Lineage: Bacteria
Description: partial 16S ribosomal RNA
Rfam family: Bacterial small subunit ribosomal RNA
Source: RNAcentral
AUUGAACGCUGGCGGCAGGCUUAACACAUGCAAGUCGAGCGGAUGAAGUGGGCUUGCUGCUGGAUUCAGCGGCGUACGGGUUAGUAAUGCCUAGGACUCUGUCUGGUAGUCGCGGAUAACGUCCGGAAACGGGCGCUAAUACCGCCUACGCCUUGAGGGCGAAAGAGGGGGUUCUUCGGUCGUGACGCGAUCACAUUAGCCUAGGUCGGAGUAGCUAGUUGGUGGGGUAAUGGCCUACCAAGGCGACGAUCCGGAACUGGUCUGAGGGGAUGAGCAGUGACACUGGAAGUGAGCAACGGUACAGACACAUACGGGAGGCAGCAGUGGGGGAUAUUAGACAAUGGGCGUAAGCCUGAUCCGACCAUGCCGCGGGUCUGCAGAAGGUCUUCGAAUUGUAAAGCCCUUUCAGAUGGGUGGAAGGGCAGUAAGUUAAAACCUGGCUGUUUAGACGUUAACCACAGAAUAAGCACCGGCUAACUUCGUG